This 22-nucleotide microRNA is filed under the name Human betaherpesvirus 5. RNAcentral's name for it is "hcmv-miR-UL36-5p". Its record names the gene hcmv-miR-UL36-5p. Lineage: Duplodnaviria; Heunggongvirae; Peploviricota; Herviviricetes; Herpesvirales; Orthoherpesviridae. The record is from miRBase by way of RNAcentral.
UCGUUGAAGACACCUGGAAAGA